This 19-nucleotide unclassified non-coding RNA is filed under the name Mus musculus (house mouse). RNAcentral describes it as "oocyte_clustered_small_RNA3767". The record is from RNAcentral. Lineage: Eukaryota; Metazoa; Chordata; Mammalia; Rodentia; Muridae.
UGGCAAAGCGGGCAGAAGG